GAUGAACGCCGGCGGCGUGCCUAAUACAUGCAAGUCGAGCGAACAGACGAGGAGCUUGCUCCUCUGAUGUUAGCGGCGGACGGGUGAGUAACACGUGGAUAACCUACCUAUAAGACUGGGAUAACUUCGGGAAACCGGAGCUAAUACCGGAUAACAUGUUGAACCGCAUGGUUCAACAGUGAAAGACGGUCUUGCUGUCACUUAUAGAUGGAUCCGCGCCGCAUUAGCUAGUUGGUAAGGUAACGGCUUACCAAGGCAACGAUGCGUAGCCGACCUGAGAGGGUGAUCGGCCACACUGGAACUGAGACACGGUCCAGACUCCUACGGGAGGCAGCAGUAGGGAAUCUUCCGCAAUGGGCGAAAGCCUGACGGAGCAACGCCGCGUGAGUGAAGAAGGUCUUCGGAUCGUAAAACUCUGUUAUUAGGGAAGAACAAAUGUGUAAGUAACUAUGCACGUCUUGACGGUACCUAAUCAGAAAGCCACGGCUAACUACGUG
This 497-nucleotide ribosomal RNA is filed under the name uncultured bacterium. Its description in RNAcentral is "partial 16S ribosomal RNA". It matches the Rfam family "Bacterial small subunit ribosomal RNA", at positions 28 to 507 of the family's 1533-position model. The record is from RNAcentral.